Molecule: microRNA precursor, 100 nt
Filed under: Ictidomys tridecemlineatus (thirteen-lined ground squirrel)
Lineage: Eukaryota; Metazoa; Chordata; Mammalia; Rodentia; Sciuridae
Description: Spermophilus tridecemlineatus (thirteen-lined ground squirrel) mir-658 microRNA precursor family
Rfam family: mir-658 microRNA precursor family
Source: Rfam by way of RNAcentral
GCCCGGUUGCCGUGGUUGCAGGCCCGGCCCGCCUGCUCGCUCGCUGACAGCCAGACUUAGGGCGGAGGGAACUGGGUCCGUUGGUCGGUCGGGAACGAGG